CGCCUUUUGAGUUACCAGUAUAAAAGGUCCUGCCUGCCCAGUGACACUGUUCAACGGCCGCGGUAUUAUGACCGUGCAAAGGUAGCGUAAUCACUUGUCUUUUAAAUAAAGACCAGUAUGAAUGGCAAGACGAAAGCCAAGCUGUCUCCCCAGAUUAGUCAAUGAAAUUGAUGUUCCCGUGCAGAAGCGGGAAUAAUAAUAUAAGACGAGAAGACCCUGUGGAGCUUCAAACUUAAGCUAACAAAUUAUAAUGUCUUAGCACCCAGUUUUAGGUUGGGGCGACCACGAGGUAAAACGAAACCCUCGAAACUAAUUAAGAAGGACACUUCAACAAUACAUAUAACUAAUUGACCCAAUAAUUGAUCAACGAACCAAGUUACCCCAGGGAUAACAGCGCAAUCUACUCAAAGAGCCCAUAUCGACGAGCAGGUUUACGACCUCGAUGUUGGAUCAGGACCCCCCAAUAACGCAACAGUUAUUAAAGGUUCGUUUGUUCAACGAUUAAAGUCCU
This 511-nucleotide ribosomal RNA is filed under the name Isthmura sierraoccidentalis (Sonoran false brook salamander). RNAcentral's name for it is "partial 16S ribosomal RNA". It matches the Rfam family "Bacterial large subunit ribosomal RNA", at positions 1817 to 2597 of the family's 2925-position model. The record is from RNAcentral. Lineage: Eukaryota; Metazoa; Chordata; Amphibia; Caudata; Plethodontidae.